UACUGGAAUUGGUCAUAUUGCCAAAAACUUUUAACUCUCUUUAGUACAAAAACACAUUAUGUACUUUUAUUUUGACAAUAUUUUGUUCUUAGAUUUAAAUAACAAUUCUUUUUUAGGUUGAAGCGCAAGGCCCCGUGACUUGCCUUCCCGUGGCGCGCUUCGUUAAGUGGAUUAUUUUCUUUUUAAGGAGAUAAUUCAUGAACUAAAAGUCAGGGCAUGCCAUGUUAAAAUUGCAUCACAUAUUUGUGGUAUUGAAAAGACUCAAGAAGCAUCAACUGCAUGGAACUUACUUACCAAUAUAUUAAUAUUAUACGGUUUAUGGAGGUUUAUGAAAAACAAAAUCCCAAGUUUUCUUUUUCGUAAUAUUAUCGUUUUCCUCUGUCAUCUUGAAGUGAAGAAUACAUGUGGCAUAAGUGACCAGAACGCAACAAAGUCAGACUUUCAUUCAUGCUUCCUGUUUCGCUUGGUGCUGGUGUCAAAUCUGCAAGAGUUAAUAUUGGUGCUUUUUCUGACUGUGGACUUGUUUGUUGCUUUUUUGAAUAGAUUCUGAAAUAAUGAAUACAUUCUGUAAUAAAAAGCAGUAAGUGUUUGAUGGACUCAAUUCGUCUCAAUUAAAUCCCUAUUUUUUGAAUUUUUUUUCUUUUAGCUAAUUUUGACCCAUUACUUUUAUUAAAGUGUCAAGAAAACCUAAUGCUACAUAAUGUAUUAAUUCUACAUUAUUAAACCAGAAACUUCCAAUUAAAAUUUAACAAGAGUGUCUAGACCAUGGUGACAUCUGUAGGGGUACAUUUUUUAACUUUGUAUUCUAAGAUGCCCGAAAACUGCUUGUCACGCGAUAAGUCAUUAUUGUAGCUUCCUUUAUUAUCUACGAAUUUUUAAGCCUUUGAACGUAAACAUAGUUAACGUUACACUAGUUUUUUAAAGGAAUAUUGCAUAAUAAAAAGUAAAGCAAUAACUUUUUUUAUUUUGGUAAAUUCAUGUGGGGUUUAUAGGCACAUAACAAAGUUAUUAAUGUUUUUUUUUGAUAUAUUGAAUAACGUUUUUAAAUACUUUGUAUAACAUAACAGAUUUAAUUUGUCCUUUUCUUAACUCACACAUUUAUUUAAAGAGCUUGAUUUGUUUUGUCCAUUCUUUUUAUUCAAAGGGAACCUGAGGUAUAAAAUGUUGUUGGACUUAUAUAUUAUAGAGCUUAAAAAGUUGGUUAAUAAGGCUUUAAAUUUUUUUUGAAAAGCUCUUUUUCGUUCUAAAGAUAUUCACAUUUACAGAAUUUCAGAAUCAAUUAUGCUGCAUAAAUAUGAUGUCAUAUUUAAUCAAUAGCAAAUUUCUAAUUUUUUGUCAGUGCCAAUACC
Long non-coding RNA from Hydractinia symbiolongicarpus, 1349 nucleotides. RefSeq lists it as uncharacterized. Lineage: Eukaryota; Metazoa; Cnidaria; Hydrozoa; Anthoathecata; Hydractiniidae. The record is from RefSeq and is a predicted model, not a curated record. The transcript has 3 exons.